UGUGCACUGGUGGGGUCCCUCGGCCUGGCCUGCGCCCUCUUGCAAUCCCAGACCCCUCGGGGGAUGCCGGAGAGCCAGUUUUGGCCUGAUCCCUGCAGGCCAGGCCGAGGGACCCCACCAGUGCAUC
RNAcentral lists this microRNA precursor (127 nucleotides) under Myotis brandtii (Brandt's bat). RNAcentral's name for it is "mir-9193 microRNA precursor family". It matches the Rfam family "mir-9193 microRNA precursor family". Lineage: Eukaryota; Metazoa; Chordata; Mammalia; Chiroptera; Vespertilionidae. The record is from Rfam by way of RNAcentral.